ACGACUUGUGAGGCAUGUAAAUAAGACACCAUACCUUUUAACAGAUGAUCUUCCACGCUUCACGUCAAAUGGUCCAAACAGAUCCACCCCACUUCUAGUGAAAGGUGGUUCGUCCGGCACGACCCUGUUUCUUGGCAAAUCUGCCAUCAUCUGUGUGCCUGGCGCACCAUGUUGUCUUCUACAAGCAGCACAGCGGGACAGUAUUUUCCUGAUUGUCACAGGAGCAUCUAUAAUCCAGUAUCUUUGACGUAUGUGAGACAAGACGUGAUUGCGUCCACUGUGUCCCAGAAGCUCAUGUGCGUCCUGAAGAAUCAGAUCAACAACGUGAUGGUCUUUGGGCAGAAGCAUCGGAUGCUUGGCUUCUGUUGGCAUACAUGCUCGACUGAGCCUCCCUCCAACGCGAAGGAUUCCUUCUUGAAGUUGUGGGUUCAGUUUGUAUAUUCGACUGCCUUUCUUAACUGUCUCUUUUCUCUGAAGAGCAGAUAUUUCCUCUUGGAACUUAAUUUGCUGACAGUAGCGGAUGAUAUCCAGCUCAGCUUGUCGCAGAUCAUCCACAGUCAGGUUCAGCAGGAUUCCCUUGACUCGAGUGAACCACGCUACUGUUUUCUUGAGCCGUAUCCAUGAAGAGAAGUAUUCUGUUAGUCGUUGCAUUCCAUCACUGCUUUCUUUUACUGUUGUAGCAUUAACAAGUAUGCUUUUCUUGACCUCAGGAUCCGUUACUGUGAGCUCCUCUUGAUGACCCAGAUUGUCUGGCCAUUCUAGUUCGGACUUGCUGAGGAAGGCAGGCCCUGAGAUCCACACUUUGUUAUGAAUGAAGAUGUUCGCUCUUUGCCCCCUGGAAGCGAAAUCAGCUGGAUUCAACUGUGUGUUUAUGUAGCGCCAUUGUUUCACUCUUGAGGCUUGUAAGAUAGUAGCGAUCCGGUUAGCCACAAAUGUUUUAAACCUGAUGUUCUCAUUCGCUAUAUACUUGAGUACGGCCGUGCUAUCUGUCCAAAACUUGGACUCUCUAAGUGGUAGCUGCAGCUCUUUCUUUAGCAUAACAUCCACCUUCACAGCUAAGGCAGCCGCCGUCAGCUCCAACCGUGGGAUAGUUGUGGACUUCAGUGGGGCAACCCUUGCCUUUCCCAAGACAAAUGAGCAGUGUAUUUGAUUGCUGAUACUCUUUUGGACUAGGUAUGUGACAGUACCAUAGCCUGUUUCGCUUGCAUCACUAAAGUGAUGUAGUUGAGCCUCCACUGUGGCUCCGAACUCUGGUGGCUUGAAGCACCUUUCCAAUCCAAAGUCUGUGAGAUGCUGAAGCUCUUCCAUCCACCUUGACCAUUGUUGUCCAAGAUGAUCUGGCACAGCAUCGUCCCAUCCUGUUCUCAGUCUGCACAGUUCUUGCAGGAUGUUUCUGGCAAGUAGUAUGACAGGAGACAACAUACCCAAUGGGUCAUAAAUUGAACUCAUCAUUGACAAGAUUCCCCUUCGGGUGAGAGGCUUCAGUUGGAUGUUAACGUGGAACUUGAACUCAUCCGACUGGAUACACCACUGUACUCCCAAAGCCCUCUCGAUGGGGAGUGCGUCUUGAUCAAGAUCCAGGUCUUUAACUUCUGUUGCCCUGUCCUCUGGUGGAAUGCUUGACAACACGUUCUGGCUGUUUGUCAUCCAUUUUGUCAGCCUGAAUCCUCCGGCUUGACAGAUGGCCGUCAAGUCUUGAUGUAGCUUGACUGCUUCUUGUUCAGAGGCAACUGAUUUCAAACAAUCAUCAACAUAGAAAUUAUGUAAGACUGUGUCAACUGCAACUGCGUCAAACCUGUCCUUAUUAUCUUCAGCACAUCUUUUCAAUGCAUAGCUGGCGCAGCUUGGGGAAGAGGUGGCGCCAAAUAAGUGAACCUGCAUCCUAUAUUCUUGCAGCUCUUGGGAGACGUCGCCUUCUGGCC
Molecule: long non-coding RNA, 1922 nt
Organism: Amphiprion ocellaris (clown anemonefish)
Lineage: Eukaryota; Metazoa; Chordata; Actinopteri; Pomacentridae
Source: Ensembl